Molecule: unclassified non-coding RNA, 90 nt
Filed under: Pseudomonas helmanticensis
Lineage: Bacteria; Pseudomonadati; Pseudomonadota; Gammaproteobacteria; Pseudomonadales; Pseudomonadaceae
Source: RNAcentral
UGUAGGAGUGAGCCUGCUCGCGAUAGCGGUGUAUCAGUUAACGAAAAUGCCGACUGAUACACCGCUAUCGCGAGCAGGCUCACUCCUACA